This 367-nucleotide unclassified non-coding RNA is filed under the name soil metagenome. RNAcentral's name for it is "partial contains 5.8S ribosomal RNA, internal transcribed spacer 2, and large subunit ribosomal RNA". The stretch from base 1 to 121 matches the Rfam family "5.8S ribosomal RNA", at positions 35 to 154 of the family's 154-position model. The record is from RNAcentral.
GAUGAAGAACGCAGCGAAAUGCGAUAAGUAAUGCGAAUUGCAGAAUUUCCGUGAGUCAUCGAAUCUUUGAACGCACCUUGCGCUCCUUGGUAUUCCGAGGAGCAUGCCUGUUUGAGUGUCAUUAAUAUUAUCAACCUUUUUGGUUGGAUGUGGGUUUGCUGGACUCCUUGAGAUCAGCUCUCCUUAAAUGCAUUAGCGGACAACAUUUUGCCAACCGUUUAUUGGUGUGAUAAUUAUCUACGCUAUUGACGUGAAGCAAGGUUCAGCUUCUAACAGUCCAUUGACUUGGACAAGUCUCUUUUUAUUAAUGUGACCUCAAAUCAGGUAGGACUACCCGCUGAACUUAAGCAUAUCAAUAAGCGGAGGA